Musca domestica (house fly) is the source of this 3424-nucleotide long non-coding RNA. RefSeq lists it as uncharacterized. The transcript is spliced from 3 exons. The record is from RefSeq and is a predicted model, not a curated record. NCBI's taxonomy places the organism in Eukaryota, Metazoa, Arthropoda, Insecta, Diptera, Muscidae.
UAUAAAUAAAAAAUAAGAUCAGCAGACGUUCGAAUCAGUGACAUAUCUCGCAGCAGAAUUCAAUUAAGAAAAAGGCUGUAAAAUUUUUAACGUGCUGUAAUUCGAGUUUUCCGGCACACGUUUGUCUGAAUUUGUAUUAUUUUGACUUCUUAUUUGACCACUAAAGGAUCUAGGCAUGUAGCAACGUUUUUGGAAGUUUUCUAUCUCAUUCUACAGUGAAAUAAAAUCAAUGUAUAUAAAUUAUUUUUGAUACGUGGUUGCCUAUGUUGUAAAGUUUUGUCGAAUUUUCCCUCAGGAAACCACCAGAGAUCAUUGCUACUCCGUUUUGGAAUACACCAGCUUGUUAAAUGCGAAGGUAUGGAAUUUGGUUUACUGAGAGAUGGAUUUCCUUUCAUUUUCGUCAAUCUUUGGUUUGUUAUGCAUCUCGGAAAUGGACGAUACCGAUUUUUGAGAAAAGAAUCAAGGGUUCCCUUUUUGGAAUAGCUGUUUUGUCAGUUAAACCUUGCUCCCAUAGCGUCAGCAUUGAGUUUGGAAGACGAUUGCAUCCAAAGAAUACAAAUAUUAUGUGUUUCACUUUUAGCGUUAAAUGGAACAAGGCCCAACUGGAGUGACUAUGGAAUUUUUGAUAUAUAAGGUCGUAAAUAUGUCUCGGAAUGUUAGCAUGUAAAAUCAGUUAAAGACUACGAUGCCGCAUAUAACUUGAGCUAUGUUUAGGACAGGAAAGACUUAGCUUCUUUGGAAGCCAUAUUGACUAAACCUUUGACCUUUGUCACGUGUACUAAAUUGUACAAAAAAACUGUUAACAUUUUUUUAUAAUUAUUUGUAGUAUAUUUUAAAUUACAAUAAGCAAAAAUCAGAUUAGAAUAGAAGAGAGAAUUACAAAAAAAUGUGAAGGGAGGGUAAAAUUUACCACCACCGUUGUUAGGAGACGUUAGAGGAAUAUUGCCAUCGCUUACACCAGCAUUAAAUACUACUAGGUGAUUAGCCUUAUGACUGAAGGAAUCUAACGACAUAAUUUUUAAGGAAUCAUAAGGAAUAGUGAAACAGCAAAGGGUUUCUACGCAUUUCUUUGUUAAGGAAAUGAAUCGAGUUAAUAUCGAAUAUACUUUUUUUAAAUUCGAAAACAUGAAAAUAUCGGUGAGAUUCUAAAAAAAACUGAAAAUAUAUAAUUAUUUCCUCAAAAAGGAGACGAAAUUUUGGGAAAAUACCAAGAAAAAUGUACUUUUGGCAAUAUUUUCUCCUACAUGAACACAUUAUUUGACCUUAGUAAUUUUUUUUUCAUUUAUAGACUUCCAAUUUUAUGCAUGAACUACGGAAAUUUUCGGAAACCGUUGCUCAAAAAGAAAAAUUGUGUACAUGUAAUUUGAUGAUGUUUGAUUUCGUAUUAUUAUUUAUUUAGACUCUUUUUUUACUCGUUUGGUUGCUGUUCAUAACCGGUUCCAGUUUGUCUAUCAACAUGCGACGACGAGUUUUCUCAAAUUCGGGGAUAUUUUCUUUUAUAGUACGAUAUACUUGAUUUGAUCAUUUAUACAGUUUACAUUAUUCUAUUUGCAUCACUUGGUGAAUAGUAAAAAACAAAAACGCAAAUAAAUGGUGAAUCGCAUUGCCACAAUAUGAUGGUUGGGAAUGAAAUGUAGGCGGCGCUGAUCGAUCAAUGGCAAUGACAUUGUCAGCGUUUACAAUACAGGGCGCUUCCUAUGUACUCUUCCAAAACACGCGCGACAUGUUAUGGUGGAGGGAACGUUAGAAACCCCACUCUACUUCAACACCGUGACACAAUACACUAUAUAAUAAAGGGAACGUUGGAAACCAAACUCCCCUUCUUUGUGGUCUUGACUCACGAAUCUUGCUCAUCGUUUCCAAUGUCUUGUAAUUUUCCCGUCAGAUCGAGCUGAAAUUUCGUAAGAUAUGUAAUAAGGUCUUUUUGUCUCAAUACUCGCAACAUUUUUUUAUUUUUAAUCUUUCUUCGCUUUUCUGUUUUUUAAUCACUAAAUAGAUUUAGUUGAAGGGUUUCCACUUUUGCACACUUUGAUUGUUUUUAGAUUAUACACUUUUUCUCUCCAUUUAUAUCGCAUUGGCACAUUAUGGUGGGUGAUGAUGACAUUAGGCGGCGCUGAACGAUCGGUGGCUAUGACAUUGACAGCGUUUACGAUACAGGGCGCCAUCUAUAAACGCUUCCAAAAUACACUUGACACGUUAUGGUGGAGUGAACAUUAGAAAGCCCACUCCACGUCAACACUGUGACACAAUACUCUGUAUAGGAAAGCACGUUGGAAACAACACGUUACUUACUUAAUAACAACAAACUUAACAUAUUUAAGAGCUGAGGGAACCUUAGAAACCUUUCUCAACUCUAACGACGUAAAACAAUACUCGUGAAAGUAAAGGAAACUUUAUAAACACCUCUUUACUUACAAGAGAACACACAACCUCCACAGAUGUUAGAGUUAAGGGAACGUUAAAAACCCCACACAAUUCGAUCGCUUACACAAUACUCUUAGAAAUGAAGGGAACGAGGGAAACCCCUCUUUACUUACGAGAACACACAAACACUUCACGAAUGUUAGAAUUAGGGGAACGUUACAAACCCCACUUAACUCUAACUACAAACAGCCUAUUCCACGAUAUGGAAAGAACAUUUCCGUUCCACAAAAAUGCAUCAGAACGAAAAAUUGUACGAAAAUCAAACCGAACGAAAACGUAAGCAUUUUAGUGGAAUUUUGUGUCCACUAUCUUUUUACGCAUGCACGCGAAUGCAAAUGUCAAAAUCAGCCACUUGUGUGUUUGCUGUCGUAUGAUUACAAUUCAGGAUUUUUUUUCAACAUAAAUAUUGCUUGAUUGAAAAUGGAAACAAAAAGCACGAAAAUAUCAUCAACUGUACAGCUGCGGGCACUAGUUGAAUAUAUGUAGGAGAAUCCUGCUAUCGCCAGAGGGGUGCCAACUUUUGGAAGCAACAAGCAAUCCCUUGAAGACCACUGAAAAAAAUUAUGUUUCAAAUUAUAUACCAUGGGUUCUCCUCCUCGCACAAUUGAAGAGUGGAAAAAGUUCCGCACAAAAAAGAAAAUACCUGAAAACAAAAAAGGGUUGCAAGGAUAAGGUGGCGGUUUAUACCAAUUUGAGUGUUUGACGGAGCUAGAAACGAAAUUGACCGGACACUUUUCUUAUCGAAGUCAGCGGCACCAAGCGGUAAGACUUUUGGCUAUGCAGACGACAUCGACUACUGCUUUGUGGCAUUGGUUACAACACCAUCAGGACGUUCCAAGACCGUAGCAGUUAAGUGAAAUAAGUUUUCACCAUUUAUCGCCAGAAACACAUGUCCAACAACAGUAUCAAAUAAACGUACAAACCUGCACCAUCACAACUAAACAAUACCAAUCAUAGUUAAUAGAUGAAACAAAUUUUUAAUUAUACAUUUUUAUUUUAA